AAGUUUUUAAUUCAGGCUUCUUUCAAACUCUAACCAAUGAAAUUACUAACAAAAAAACCCACUUAUUAAGAACAAGUAGAAUUAUCCGAAUAUCAAAAAGACCUUAAGACAUAGUACCGAAAGGGAACAAUGAAAUAAAAUUAAAUAAUAAACUUAAAAUAGGAAAGAUUAAACCUUUUACCUUGUGUAUAAUGGAUUUACAAGAAAAUAGACAAAAAAAUCUAAGCCCGAAACCAGACGAGCUAACCUCCCCUUCUCUUUCAGGAGAACUAAACUACUGUUGCAAUAGUAGACACAAAGGGAAGGUUAGAUGUUAUAUGCUAAUCGCGCCUGGAGAUAGCUGGUUACCUAAGAAAUUAGCCUUAGCUAAGCCUCCCCUAUUCAAACCUAAACAACAGUUAAUAUAAAUUAAUAACCCCUUAGAAGUUUGUUAGGAAGAGGUUAGAUGGAAAAGGAUAAGCUUUUCCAUCAAACCGGAAAAACCCAAAAACACAUCAGUUAAAGCCAAUAAAAACUACAAAUAGCAAUCAAAAUUUGGGUAGGCCUAGAAGCAGCCAACCCAUAAGAAAGCGUCAAAGCUCAAUAUAAACACAAAAGCUAAAAAAUCUAUGAAACAUAACCUGAAACUAUACUAUCUUAUUAGGUUAUUCCCACCUAAGGGAAAAAAUUAUGUUAAUAUGAGUAAAGAAAGGCUCACUCGAGUUAUAAACAAACUUAACUAUGGAAGAAAAAUAAUAAAACUAAAAACAACAUUUUUAAACCUGUCCUCCAACUCAGGAGAGCCCUAUAACUAAUUAAAAGGUAAGAAGGAACUCGGCAAAAAUAAGUUUCGCCUGUUUACCAAAAACAUCGCUCUCUGAUACAAACCCAUAUAGAGAGUCCUGCCUGCCCAGUGACCAAAAGUUAAACGGCCGCGGUAUCUUGACCGUGCGAAGGUAGCAUAAUCAUUUGUCUCUUAAAUAGAGACUAGUAUGAAUGGCAAGACGGAACUCUACUGUCUCCUUACCCCAUCCUUGAAUUUCACUUCCCCGUGAAGAGGCGGGGAUCACUUCGUUAGACGAGAAGACCCUGUCGAGCUUGUAACAAAGUACAAGAUUCUAAACCUCUAAUUUAAGCUUCUAACUAUCAAAAACUUAAAGCUAAAUUAGAAAAAGAAAUCUUUACUAGUUUUGGUUGGGGCAACCGCGGAGAAAGCAAAACCUCCGUUACCAUAAUUUAAACAAAGAGAAAUACCUCUAAUACAACUCAAGACAAUAAAUGAUCCACCUAGGUGAUCAAAAGAAAAAGUUACCGCAGGGAUAACAGCGUUAUCUUCUUUGAGAGUCCAUAUUGACAAGAAGGUUUGCGACCUCGAUGUUGGAUCGGGACAUCCCAGAGGUGCAGAAGCUUCUAAAGGUUGGUCUGUUCGACCAUUAAAGUCCUACGUGAUCUGAGUUCAGACCGGCGAAAGCCAGGUCAGUUUCUAUCUACGAAUAUACUUUUUCUUUCUUAGUACGAAAGGACCAGAAAGAAGGUGUCAAUAUUUCUAAUAAACACCAAACUAAACUCCUAAAUUAAAAAC
RNAcentral lists this ribosomal RNA (1561 nucleotides) under Araeosoma owstoni. Its description in RNAcentral is "16S ribosomal RNA". It matches the Rfam family "Bacterial large subunit ribosomal RNA". Lineage: Eukaryota; Metazoa; Echinodermata; Echinoidea; Echinothurioida; Echinothuriidae. The record is from RNAcentral.